RNAcentral lists this long non-coding RNA (7036 nucleotides) under Homo sapiens (human). RNAcentral's name for it is "non-protein coding RAD51-AS1:7". The record is from RNAcentral. Lineage: Eukaryota; Metazoa; Chordata; Mammalia; Primates; Hominidae.
UUUGGUUAGAUCUAUUUUCCCUCCACUUACCAAUUUAUUUUUAUUUUUAUUUAUUUAUUUAUUUAUUUAUUUUAGAUGGAGUCUUGCUCUGUUGCCCAGGCUGGAGUGCAGGGACGUGGUAUCAGCUCACUGCAACCCCACCUCCCAGAUUCAAGCGAGUCUUCCUGCCUCAGCCUCCCAAGUAACUGGGAUUACAGGCGCCUGCCACCACGCCCAGCUAAUUUUUUGUAUUUUUAGUAGAGACAGGGUUUCACCAUGUUGGCCAGGCUGGUCUCGAACUCCUGACCUCAGGUGAUCCACCUACCGUGGCCUCCCAAAGUGCUGGGAUUACAGGUGUGAACCACCGCACCCGGCCUUAUUUUUUUAUUUUUGAGACAGCAUCUCGCUCUGUUCAAGUUGGCCUUGAACUCCUGGCCUCAAGUGAUCCUCCCACCUUGGCCUCCCAAAGUGUUGGAAUUACAGGUGUGAACCAUUGCAAUGGCCUUAUUACUACUUUAUAUUUGUGGAGUGCUUUAAAGUUGACAAAGUUUUUAGUUAAUCCUCACACUAUUACCUUGUGGCGUUGAAGAACAGAUUUCAGGAGCGUGAAAGUGAAGACACCAAAAAGGAAGUUCUUGCAAUAUUUCAACAAAGAGAUGAAGAUUUGGAUUAGAUUCCAGUUCUACCUUUUUGGCACCAGGGAGCUGUUCUGUGAAAGACAAUUUUCCACAGGGCUCGGGGGGUGGGCAUGAGGCAGAGGAUGGUUUCGGAAUGAAACUGUUGCACCUCAAGAUCAUCAAUUAGAUUUCCAUAAGGAGUGUGCAAUCUAGAUUCCUCACAGGUGCAGUUCAAAAUAGGUUUUGAGUUCCUGUGAGAAUCUAAUGCUCUCCUUGAUCUGACAGGAGGCAGAGCUCAGGCAGUAAUGCUUGCUUGCUAGCUGCUCACCUGCUGUGCAGCCCAGUUCCUAAUAGGCGACAGGUCUGUGUUGGGGCGUUGGGGUCCUCUGAAUUAGAGGAAUGACAGAGAGAACAGACUCAGGCAGCUUUCUGGAUGUAGAAACAACCUAACUUAGUGAUUAUAGAUACUACCUGUGAUAAUAGUGAACUUUCUUCCAUAUCAAAGUUACACACCUUUGCCUCCGGUUCUUCCCACACCCUUAGAGCAUCUGCAAACCUACAGCCCUCCUCCUAGCUGACUGUAGUCACAUGACUUUUACCUUUCUGGCCACCAGUUGUACCAGCAGUGUUCAUCUGGCCCCAAAUUGGCCAAUCAUUUUCCUGCUCCUGGAAAAUUAGACUUGGCUUUAUAUUCAAGUCUGACCUCAGGAAUUUAUGGGGCAAAGUACACAGAUAGAUGUGUGUGAAUGUCCAAUCAGAGAAAGCACAUCUGCAGAAAGAUUAAGAAAUUGAUGUCGGGUGUGGUGGCUCAAGCCUGUAAUCCCAGCACUUUCGGAGGCUGAGGCAGGCGCAUCACCUGAGGUCAGGAGUUCGAGACCAGCCUGACCAACAUGGUGAAACCCCAUCUCUACUAAAAAUACAAACAUUAGCCUCCAGCUACGCAGGAGGCCAAGGCAGGAGAAUCGCAUGAAACUGGGAGGCAGAGGUUGCAGUGAGCUGAGAUCGUGCCACUGCACUCCAGCCUGGAUGACAGAGCAAGACUCUGUCUCAAAAAAAAAAAAAAAAAGAAAAAGAAAAAGAAAUUGAGAUACUAAGGAGAGAGUCAAAGAUAAAUAAACCAUUUGAAUUCUGACUCCUUUCCAGAUCGCCUUUCCAGUUUCUCAGAAGCCUAGCAGUACUUACUCCUCCUGCUCUUGGGUUCUUUUUUACUUUUUUUUUUUUUUUAAAAAAAAAACCUUGAACUCUUAAGGAUUAAUGCUCUUGAGUUAUGAGAUAUCCCUACAUUCCAAUAACUCUACCUUCUAUUUUUAUUGAUUAAACUAGUUUGAGUAGUUUCUGUUCCUUUCUUCCAAAACAACCCACUGAGAACUUGGAAAUAAGGCAAACUAGAUUUCCCUCUAAUAGUUAAAUUGGCAUUCUCUGAGAAUAUUUAUAAAUGUGUUAAUUGAAAAAUUUUGGAGUGUGGUGGCUCACACUUGUAAUCCUAGUGCAUUGAGAGGCUGAGGUGAGAGGACCAUUUGAGGCCAGGAGUUAGAGACUAGUCUGGGCAAUGUAGUGAGACCCCCCAACUCUACAAAAAAAAAUGUUGUUUUGUUUUUUUUGUGUUUUUGUUUUGAGAUAGAGUCUCGGUCUGUCGCCAGGCUGGAGUGCAGUGGUGAGAUCUGGGCUCACUGCAACCUCGGCCUCCCAGGUUCAAGCGAUACUCCUGCCUCAGCCUCCCGAGUAGCUGGGACUACAGGCACAUGCCACCACGCCCGGCUCAUUUUUUGUAUUUUUAGUAGAGAUGGAGUUUCACCAUGUUGGCCAGGAUGGUCUCGAACUCCAGACCUCAUGAUCCGCCUCGGCCUCCCAAAGUGCUGGGAUUACAGACGUGAGCCACCGCGCCUGGCCAAAAAAAACCUUUUUUUAAAAAUUAGCCAGGUGCGGUGAUGCACACUUGUAGUCCUAGCUGUCUGGGAAGCUGAGGAGGGGAGAUUGCUUGAGCCCAGGAGUUCAAGGUUACAGUGAGCUAUGAUUGCACCUUGCACCACUGCACUCCAGUCUGGGCGAAAGAGUGAAACUUUGUCUCAAAAAAAAAAAAAAAAAGUAUAAAUACAUAUAUAUAAAUGUAUAUAUAUAGAGAUACAUACACACACACAUACAUAUAUAUGUAUUCUUUAUAUAUAAGGUAAUGUGUAUCAAGUGAUCUAAUCUGCUCCUAAUUCACCUCCUCUAGUAUGCUUACAAAAUGAGAGUCCUGGAAUAGCAGACAUGCAUUGUAAAUAAAUGAACAUCUUUCUACAAGUAUAUUUCCCCAAGGUUCAACUGAAUAUAGUUUGCUAUAAUUUCUUAAAAUUCAAUCAAUUUCACAUCCAUUAAACUUACAAGUACCGUAAUCCAGUUUUCCUAGGAAAACUAAGCCCAGCCGAACCUUGGGAAAAAUACCUCUGUGUUAAACAUAUAUACAUGAUCGAUUUUAAAUGUUUUCACCACAAAAAAUGGUAAGUACGUGAGGUGAUGGAUUUGUUAACUCAGAAGCAGGCACACCAAAUCACAAUGGGUCUGAUUCGAUCCUCCCUGAUGGCAAUGGAGACCCAUCUAACUAAUCCCACUUCUAAUUACCUUUCUUUUUCUCCUUACAGACCUAAAAAAUCUCACCAUUUCUAUUAGCCUGAAAAUAACAUCCCUCUGUUCUUCUCUUCCUCCUUCAGCACUGAAUCUCGCUUACACUAGGUUUUACUUAAUGAUUCUCCUCCUUAUACUUUCUGUCUCACCAGUUUCCUCUCACACUUAUUUACCUGCUACACAAAAUUAUUCUUAUUGGGCUUAUGUGCCCUUUCCUCCACUUAUUCGACCUCUCACCUGGAUUGAUGCUCCUGCGGAAAUCUACAUUAACGAUAGUUUGUGGAUGCCUGGAGCUACAGAUGACCGUUGCCCUGCUCAACCAGGAGAAGAAGGCACUACAUUUAAUGUUAUCAUGGGUUAUAAAUAACACCCUCUGUGCCUCAGAAAUGCACCUGGUUAUAUCCAUCUAGAAACUCAAGUCUGGGCUGCUUAUCUUCCCGAGAGAUCAGCUACAGAGGAACCGGGACAUUUGGUCUCUGGCCUCUCCCUUUCUCCUUUAAAACAAAUGAAAGGGGGAGUAAUGGGACAUACCCCAUACUUUCAAUAAGUAGCCUCCAGGCAUUCCCUUCCACCAGAGGAGCAAUUGUUUUUUAAAUAGCCCUUUGGCGCCCAGUCUAUUACUAAACCAUAUGAGUCAUUUUUUAAUAUUACUGCAUGUGAGUUAACAUAGUCUUCCCAAAUUAAAGUUUUAGAUGGGCCCUCAAAAUUUUUAGGGCAUGGUUUUCCUGCAGGUUUAUAUGGAAAGUAUGGGGUCCCUGACUUCUCGCAACAGUGGCCUACACUGCCUUUCAGUUUACCUAGGCCUCCAAAGCACUUUAGCCUGUGGGGCUUGCCAGAACUCGGGUUCCAGCUCCUGGAAUGGACAGUUCCCCUCUGGCUAGGGUUGAUCUAAUGUUCCCUCUGGGUUACUGGCUGAGUUCUGCCCUGUGUGGCUUUCUGCUGUGCCAGGGCUGCACUGAGUUCAAAUGCAGAGUCUCACAAUCAUUGUAUUCUUCCUCCCCCAGGAGCACCCAUUCUCUCUUUACACCAAUUGGCCACUGCCAGGGGAUGAAGAGGGAUGAUGUUGACAAUUCAAGACUAUUUCUUACCCUCUUCAGUGCCUGUUUCCUUAAUAUGAUAAUAAACCAGGUACUGCGAUCACUCACCUGAUUAUUGGUUCUUAUGAAGGUGCUUUUUUAAUGUAGUUGUUCAGUUUGAUAUUUCUGUCGGAGGGAUGACUGCUGGAGGAUUCUAUUAAGCCAUCUUGCUCUGCCUUCUUGCAACACAUAAAAUUCAACAGUUUUGUGCAACUGUAAGUUCAAGUGUUUGUAAUUUUAUUUAUUUCAUUUUUUUCUUUGAGAUGAAGUCUCCCUCUUGUUACCCAGGCUGGAGUGCAGUGGCGCGAUCUUGGCUCACUGCAACCUCUACCUCCUGGGUUCAAGCAAUCCUCCUGCCUUAUCCUCCCAAGUAGCUGGGAUUACAGAUGCCUGCCACCAUGUCUUGCUAACUUUUGUACAUUUAGUAGACAUGAGGUUUUGCCAUGUUGUCCGGGCUGGUCUUGAACUCCUGACUUCAAGUGAUCCACCUGUCUUAGCCUCCCAAAGUACUGGGAUUACAGGUGAGAGUCACUGCUCCCUGCUGCAAAUUUCUUAUUAAAUCUGUUUGACAGAUUUUAGAAUUUCUAUAAGUAAUGUUUAAAAUUACAACCAUUUGGGCUGGGUGUGGUGGCUCAUGCCUGUAAUCCCAGCACUUAUUUUAUUUCUUAUCAGGAGAACGAGAAUCAUCAUACUACUUUGCAUCGGAGGUUAAGCUCAUUCUUUUCCUUAAAAUGGGAAGAUAAAGGCAUUACCCCCUCUCCGAGGCCUCAUAUGAUACUCCCCAUUCUGACCCAGAACACCCAGAACUUUGGAAAUUGGCUAUUGCCAUGUCUGGACUGCAAGUAUGGGAAGCAGAAACUAUUCUGUCUGUUGUCCCCACUACCAUCUCCCUCUCUCAGUAUCAACGUAGAUCCAGACAUUCUGCUUUACCUACCUCCAACCUGUUUCCAUACAGAGUUCUGUUAAGCCUCCUUGCAUGCUGUUAGUGAGAUAUAUCAAAAUUUGGAUGAACAAUCAAACUGUCCAAUGCAUUAAUUGUCAUUUAUACACUUGUAUUAACUCCCAUUUUGAUUCCAGGAAAAGUGUAAUGUUGGUUCGAGCUCAAGAAGGAAUCUGGAUUCCGGUAACUUUGCCCAGACCUUGGGAAUCCUCCCCUUCAAUACAUUUAAUUAAUGAAGUGUUACAGUGAAUUCUAAAAAGAUCUAAGAGAUUUAUUUUCACUUUAAUUGCUGUUAUCAUGGGCCUAAUUACAGUCACUGCAGUGGCCACCACUGCCGGAAUGGCAUUACACCAGUCCAUUCAAGCGGCUCAUUUUGUUAAUGGUUGGCAAGCCAAUUCCAUCCAAAUGUGGAAUUCUCAACAAGGCAUCGAUCGAAAAUUGGCAAAUCAAAUUAGUGAUUUAAGACAGUCUGUUAUUUGGCUUGGAGAUCAGGUAGUGAGUCUCGAGCAUCACAUGCAAAUGCAGUACGAUUGGAACACUUGAGAUUUCUGCAUCACCCCGUAUUCCUAUAACGAGACUGAUCAUUCAUGGGAAAUGGUCAAAAGACAUCUUCUGGGUAGGGAAGAUAAUUUAUCACUGGACAUAACUAAAUUAAAGAGACAAAUUUUUGAAGCCUCUCAAGCUCACUUAUCCAUUGUGCCUGGAGCUGAGGCGUUAGAUCAGGUGGCAGAAAAUCUUUCUGGAUUAAACCCCAGGACUUGGAUUAAGUCUAUUGGGGGCUCCACUGUAGUAAAUUUUGGAAUUAUGUUUCUCUGUUUAAUCGGCUUGUUUUUAGUUUGCCAGACUAGUCAAAGAAUCCUGCGUCAAAAUCAAGAGAACGAACAAGCCUUCAUUGCCAUGGCACAUUUAUUAUAAAAAGAAAGGGAGAGAUGUUGCGGGAAGUCAGGGACCCCGGAGGGACCAGCUGAAGCCAUGGCAGAAGAACAUAAAUUGUGAAGAUUUCAUGGACAUUUAUUAGUUCCCCAAUCAAUACCCUUGUGAUUUCCUAUGCCUGUCUUUACUUUAAUCUCUUAAUCCCGUCAUCUUCGUAAACUGAGGAGGAUGUAUGUCGCCUCAGGACCCUGUGAUGAUUGUGUUAACUGCACAAAUUGUAGAGCAUUUGUGUUUGAACAAUAUGAAAUCUGGGCACCUUGAAAAAAGAACAGGAUAACAGUGAUGUUCACGGAACAAGAGAGAUAACCUUAAACUCUGACUGCCGGUGAGCUGGACGGAACAGAGCCAUAUUUCUCUUCUUUCAAAAGCAAAUGGGAGAAAUAUCACUGAAUUCUUUUUCUCAGCAAGGAACAUCCCUGAGAAAGAGAAUGCAUCCCUGAGGGUAGGCCUCUGAAAUGGCUGCUUCAGGGCAGCUGUCUUUUAUGGUCGCAGCUGUGGGGAUGAAAUAAGCCCCAGUUUCUCAGAGUGCUCCCAGGCUUAUUAGGACGAGGAAAUUCCUGCCUAAUAAAUUUUGGUCAGACCAGUUGUCUGCUCUCAAACCCUGUCUCCUGAUAAGAUGUUAUCAAUGACAAUGCAUGCCCGAAACUUCAUUAGCAAUUUUAAUUUCACCCCAGUCCUGUGGUCCUGUGAUCUCGCCCUGCCUCCAUUUACCUUGUGAUAUCUUAUUACCUUGUGAAGCAUGGGAUCUCUGUGACCCAUACCCUAUUUGUACACUCCCUCCCCUUUUGAAAAUCACUAAUAAAAAAUUUGCUGGUUUUAUGGCUCAGGGGGCAUCACAGAACCUGCCAACAUGUGAUGUCUGCCCUGGACACCCAGCUUUAAAAUUU